GAUGAACGCUGGCGGCGUGCCUAAUACAUGCAAGUCGAGCGAACAGACGAGGAGCUUGCUCCUCUGACGUUAGCGGCGGACGGGUGAGUAACACGUGGAUAACCUACCUAUAAGACUGGGAUAACUUCGGGAAACCGGAGCUAAUACCGGAUAAUAUAUUGAACCGCAUGGUUCAAUAGUGAAAGAAGGUUUUGCUGUCACUUAUAGAUGGAUCCGCUCCGCAUUAGCUAGUUGGUAAGGUAACGGCUUACCAAGGCAACGAUGCGUAGCCGACCUGAGAGGGUGAUCGGCCACACUGGAACUGAGACACGGUCCAGACUCCUACGGGAGGCAGCAGUAGGGAAUCUUCCGCAAUGGGCGAAAGCCUGACGGAGCAACGCCGCGUGAGUGAUGAAGGUCUUCGGAUCGUAAAACUCUGUUAUUAGGGAAGAACAAAUGUGUAAGUAACUAUGCACGUCUUGACGGUACCUAAUCAGAAAGCCACGGCUAACUACGUG
This 497-nucleotide ribosomal RNA is filed under the name uncultured bacterium. RNAcentral's name for it is "partial 16S ribosomal RNA". It matches the Rfam family "Bacterial small subunit ribosomal RNA", at positions 28 to 507 of the family's 1533-position model. The record is from RNAcentral.